This 775-nucleotide ribosomal RNA is filed under the name Sulfitobacter sp. Its description in RNAcentral is "bacterial SSU rRNA". It matches the Rfam family "Bacterial small subunit ribosomal RNA", at positions 55 to 876 of the family's 1533-position model. Lineage: Bacteria; Pseudomonadati; Pseudomonadota; Alphaproteobacteria; Rhodobacterales; Roseobacteraceae. The record is from RNAcentral.
AUGCAAGUCGAGCGCAGUCCUUCGGGACCGAGCGGCGGACGGGUUAGUAACGCGUGGGAACAUACCCUUUUCUACGGAAUAGCCUCGGGAAACUGAGAGUAAUACCGUAUACGCCCUUCGGGGGAAAGAUUUAUCGGUUAAGGAUUGGCCCGCGUUAUAUUAAAUAGUUGGUGGGGUAAUGGCCUACCAAGUCUACCAUCUAUAGCUGGUUUUAGAGGACCAUCAGCAACACUGGGACUGAGACACGGCCCAGACUCCUACGGGAGGCAGCAGUGGGGAAUCUUAUACAAUGGGCGCAAGCCUGAUCUAGCCAUGCCGCGUGAGUGAUGAAGGUCUUAGGAUCGUAAAGCUCUUUCGCCAGGGAUGAUAAUGACAGUACCUGGUAAAGAAACCCCGGCUAACUCCGUGCCAGCAGCCGCGGUAAUACGGAGGGGGUUAGCGUUGUUCGGAAUUACUGGGCGUAAAGCGCACGUAGGCGGAUCAGAAAGUAUAGGGUGAAACCCAGAGGCUCACCCUCGGAACUGCCUCUAAAACUCCUGGUCUUGAGUUAGAGAGAGGUGAGUGGAAUUCCAAGUGUAGAGGUGAAAUUCGUAGAUAUUUGGAGGAACACCAGUGGCGAAGGCGGCUCACUGGCUCGAUACUGACGCUGAGGUCCGAAAGUGUGGGGAGCAACAGGAUUACAUACCCUGGUAGUCCACACCGUAAACGAUGAAUGCCAGACGUCGGGCAGUAUACUGUUCGGUGUCACACCUAACGGAUUAAGCAUUCCGCCUGG